This 253-nucleotide ribosomal RNA is filed under the name uncultured bacterium. Its description in RNAcentral is "partial 16S ribosomal RNA". It matches the Rfam family "Bacterial small subunit ribosomal RNA", at positions 524 to 776 of the family's 1533-position model. The record is from RNAcentral.
UACGUAGGGUGCGAGCGUUGUCCGGAAUUACUGGGCGUAAAGAGCUCGUAGGUGGUUUGUCGCGUUGUUCGUGAAAACUCACAGCUCAACUGUGGGCGUGCGGGCGAUACGGGCAGACUGGAGUACUGCAGGGGAGACUGGAAUUCCUGGUGUAGCGGUGGAAUGCGCAGAUAUCAGGAGGAACACCGGUGGCGAAGGCGGCUAUCUGGACAGUGACUGACGCUGAGACGCGAAAGCGUGGGGAGCAAACAGG